ACAUUUUAAAGUAAGUUUACCGUAUAUAAAAGCCAUACAGUUCUAUUGGUUACGAAUCUUUUGUGUUAUCGCCGAAUUUACAUAAAAAUUAAAGUUUAUGACUCAAUUUCGGCUGAAACUAAAAUGCAUGUGGAGAAUGAAAAAAAGAAAGUCAAAUCUCUUCGCACAGCAUACAAUGCAGAGAGCAGUAAGGUGUAAAGGAGCCAAAAAUGUGGAUGUGGAAAAGAAAGAAAGCAUGGGCUCCGACACGAACGAAAUAUUACUUUCCGAUUCAUCAUAUAUUGAGCAAUGCAUUGAAGAAGCGCCAUCUUCCGCAAAAAGAACAAAAACGAAAACAGUGUAUUUGAAACUUUUGAUGCUUAUCAAACUAUGGCUGAUAUUUAAGUUUAACAAAAAGAAAACUGGAACUAUUCAAGAAUAUCCGAGAAGAGAAAAUGCUUAGUAGAACAUCAACACCGUGUUUUCAAAGGUCGAGAUAUUGGAAGAAGACUGCAUAGUUCCGUUUUUGUAUCAUAAUGAUUUCGGAUACCUUCCAUGACAUGGGGACGUACGCUCCGAUAGUGUUGGCAGUGGCGCGAGUUAAGGAACGUGUUAUUUAUAACAUUAUAUCACCAAAAUAUCGUAAGCAAACAAGCAUCAAAACAACCUUAUCUUUGAACCAAGAUAAUGUAUCAAAACAACAUUGAACAAAAUACAUCAAAACCUAAUCUUAAAACAAAGGAAAUAUAGUAAAGCAAACAAUAUGUUAUAUAAUAUGUAUGUAAACAAACUAUCAACUAGUAAUAAGUAAACAUAGCAUUUAGUAUAAAUAGCAGUAAGAUCUAGGUAACAAGUUAGUGUUAUGAAUAUCAAUAAAGAGUACAUAUUUCGGCGCAGCUCAAAAGUAUAUCUUUAAUGACUCAUUUCGAAUAGACGAUAUUAACGCGCGGUACAAUAACGUGAAAACUCGUCACCGUUUUAUAUAUCUUGGUUUAAAAUUAAAAUGCCAUCUGUGCGGUGUGUUAAUUUAUUUGACAGUUUCUGUUAUAUUUGUUUAGUAUUAGCUUUCUGAUAUGCGAUUCCUAUGGUAUGGCGCAAGCAAAAGAACCAUAGUGAUGAUUGUUACUUUUAUUCGUGUAAAUUGAAAGGGUAUAAUUAAAAACGCAAGCAGUCAAUUUCAUACCGCAAUGGGUAAUCAGCUCGUUGCUCGGAUAACAAUCUGGGUUUACCAAAUUCCCUUGUAUUUUGUUUUGGUGCCUCUGGUGUCUCCCCAUAAAGUUCUUCUACCUCCGCUUCACAUAAUGUUGGGAUUGAUGAAGCAAUUUGUUAAGUCACUUCCAAGAGAUGAAAAUUGCCUCUAAUACUUAGUGUCAUAGUUCUUAGGACUUCACCAAGAUAUUAAGGAAAUGGGAAAAAGAUAGCAGGGAAGAUGGAGUGUGUCAAUGAUGACAGACUAUUAUUGGACGUUUCAUAGACUUUCCAGAUGUUUCCUACAAGCGAAAAUGUACCAAAAGGAGUCUCACUGGGAAAAAUAAAUGUGAUUAGUAUUUACUAAUAAUAAUAUAAAAUAAAAAAUUUUGUUACACAAA
Molecule: long non-coding RNA, 1568 nt
Organism: Bactrocera oleae (olive fruit fly)
Lineage: Eukaryota; Metazoa; Arthropoda; Insecta; Diptera; Tephritidae
Source: RefSeq, a predicted model, not a curated record